Molecule: unclassified non-coding RNA, 329 nt
Filed under: soil metagenome
Description: partial contains 5.8S ribosomal RNA, internal transcribed spacer 2, and large subunit ribosomal RNA
Rfam family: 5.8S ribosomal RNA (bases 1-120)
Source: RNAcentral
GAUGAAGAACGUAGCGAAAUGCGAUAAGUAAUGUGAAUUGCAGAAUUCAGUGAAUCAUCGAAUCUUUGAACGCACAUUGCGCCCUCUGGUAUUCCGGGGGGCAUGCCUGUUCGAGCGUCAUUAUAACCACUCAAGCUCUCGCUUGGUAUUGGGGUUCGCGGUUCCGCGGCCCCUAAAAUCAGUGGCGGUGCCUGUUGGCUCUACGCGUAGUAAUACUCCUCGCGAUUGGGUCCGGUAGGUCUACUUGCCAGCAACCCCCAAUUUUUACAGGUUGACCUCGGAUCAGGUAGGGAUACCCGCUGAACUUAAGCAUAUCAAUAAGCGGAGGA